This 468-nucleotide ribosomal RNA is filed under the name uncultured bacterium. RNAcentral's name for it is "bacterial SSU rRNA". It matches the Rfam family "Bacterial small subunit ribosomal RNA", at positions 15 to 518 of the family's 1533-position model. The record is from RNAcentral.
GAUCCUGGCUUAGAGCGAACGCUGGCGGCAGGCCUAACACAUGCAAGUCGAGCGGACGUAGCAAUACGUCAGCGGCAGACGGGAGAGUAACACGUGGGAACGCGCCCUUCGGUUCGGAAUAACUCAGGGAAACUUGGGCUAAUACCGAAUACGCCCUUACGGGAAAAGAUUUAUUGCCGAAGGAACGGCCCGCGUCCGAUUAGCUUGUUGGUGAGGUAACGGCUCACCAAGGCGACGAUCGGUAGCUGGUCUGAGAGGAUGACCAGCCUCACUGGGACUGAGACACGGCCCAGACUCCUACGGGAGGCAGCAGGUGGGGAAUAUUGGACAAUGGGCGCAAGCCCUGAUCCAGCCAUGCCGCGGUGGGUGAUGGAACGGCCCGUAGGGUUAGUAAACGUCCCUUUCGGCGGGGAAGAUAAUGACGGUACCCGCAGAAGAAGCCCCGGCUAACUUCGUGCCAGCCGCCGC